AAACUACGAUUAGAUACCCUAUUAUUUAUAGAGUUAUAAAUACAAAUACAUAAGUAGUAAUAGUUAUAGUCUUGAAACUUAAAAAAUUUGACGGUAAUUUAAACUACCCAGAGGAACUUGCCCCGUAAUUGAUAAUCCUCGUUAUAACUUACUUAAAUUAGUAAUCAGUUUGUAUACCGUCGUCAUCAGGUUAUAUUAGGAAAUUAUAAUCUUAAGCUUUAGAUAAGAUGUCAGAUCAAGGUGCAGCUUAUAUUUAAGGGGAGGUGAGUUACAAUAAAAGUAUUUAAACGGAAAUUAUAUUGUAAUAUAUAAUAAAAGGUGGAUUUGGUGGUAAUUAUUUAUAUGAGAAAAGUAAUGAUUAUAGCUCUAAAUUAUGUACA
RNAcentral lists this ribosomal RNA (380 nucleotides) under Brachycercus harrisella. RNAcentral describes it as "partial 12S ribosomal RNA". The record is from RNAcentral. Lineage: Eukaryota; Metazoa; Arthropoda; Insecta; Ephemeroptera; Caenidae.